Molecule: unclassified non-coding RNA, 1280 nt
Filed under: Leishmania donovani
Lineage: Eukaryota; Euglenozoa; Kinetoplastea; Trypanosomatida; Trypanosomatidae
Description: gene:LdHU3.13.0910(CDS-product:hypothetical_prote in_conserved)
Source: RNAcentral
CGAUGUGGAGGGCGCCGCCCUCAUACGCGGGUCUCAUAUCCCCCUCCACACUUAUUCGGCGUCAUUGCGGCGCUCUUGUAGCCACAGCGCAGGUGUGCGCAUCUCGUGCAGCGAGCAGCGGCGGCAUGGGCAUUGACGCGGGUGAGAGCGCCAUCGGCGUAGACGCAGUGGCGCGGCCGAUAGGCUACGGUCCCUUCAGUGCUGCUGCCAAGACUCGACUGGCUUGCGAGAAGGCACACAAAGCCGUAGAGACGUGCGACAGUGCAGCUGCGGCCGCGUCGGCGACUGUCAUGAACAACGUCACUCUCGACACAAACCUGUACCUCCGCUUGUCCCUCGCUGGCCUCCCGCACCCGUCCCAGCUGCAAGAGUGGGCGUACAUGUCACCUGAGUGGCGCUUGGCUUUUGUGCGCCUCUACCGCACCAUUCUACGCCUGCACAACAAGGCAGUGGCGGUGUCGCUGCGCACGGCGCGCAGGCAAGGGUCGGAGGCGGCCUUGUCCGCCGCCACCGGGGUGCACGCAACCUCGCAGACCUCCGUGGCUGGCGCCGCCGUCGCUGCCACGGAGGUCGACAACAGCCUGGCCGAGGACAAGGACGACUACUUCCUCCGUUACCUCCUCACACCAGACCAACAAGAGUUCGGCAACCGCUUCGUCCAGGGAGAGUUUGCGCGCCACAUGGACGCCGACGCGGUGGCGGCGGCCAUCUUCUACGCGUCGUGGUACGAGUACGUGCUGCAGCUCGCCUCCGGCGUGACGGCGCGCGAGAUGACAGAGAAGGAGAAGCGGCUCUUGACGGAUGAGCAGAAGGAGACGCUGAACUCGCUGCGUGGUGCCUUCUUCGGCCUCCGCGCCUCUCAGCAGCCCAAAUACAUGCCGUAGGCGUCAAGGCUGUGUGUGCGUGUCUGGGUGUCUCUUGGUGUAUCGGUGUGUGUCUGUCUCUCUGUCUGCGUGUAUGCCUCGGGUUGAUAAGGUUGAUUUUGCAUCAUCGGUCAAGGGACGCAGAGCCAGGUGGAGCACCUUUGCUUCAUGUGAAGGUGCACCGGAUGGCAUGACCGCGCAUGUGCCGACAUGUGUAUCUGUAUGCGCAUGCUGUGCUGCCGCCUCUCGUACGCAUGCGAACUCGCAUGGACCGUCGUGCUGCGCGAGACUUUGGAGGAGUCAUGGAAUGAGUUUGUCCAUGCUUUUUAGCUGCAUCACACCCUGUCCACUCAUCCUUGCGUGUCUUUUAUGCCCCCCCCUCUGACUCCCUCUCUGGACAUCACGCGCCACACGCAC